UUUUGUGUGUGUGUGUGUGUGUGUCUUAAGCUUCAAGCAUUCCAGCAGACCAGGAAAAAAAAAGAAAAAGAAAAAAAAAAAAGGAAAUGCUAUGCUGUGUUUACUCUCUGAAUGCUUACAUAAAAAUGCGUCAAAGUGCACACAAGUACACACACGCAGCGUUGUCAUGAGUAUAGUGGUGGGCUUUUUCCAGUGAUCCUUCCCUUUGUGAAUCAGCCUGCCUGAGACAUGAUGGGAUGGUUGCCCUAGAAGAUGAGAUCUCCGAGUCUUAGAGGUUUCUGAGACACGAUGAACCCACGUUCCUCUGCUGUAAUGUUGCCUAAUCUCUUGCCCUGGCUCCCGACCAGAACCCGCUGCACCAUCCUGCCCAGCGUGCCAGGCGUUCUGGCAGCACUGCCCAUGUGCAGAGCCCAAGUACAACACAAACACAACACCUCGUUCCCAGCACCUCUCCACUGAACUGAAUUUGGGGCUCGAUUCUGUUUUCUCUUUGCCCCACCUGCCUCAACAAGCAGAAACACCUCCGCCAGGUGAUCCGAUGGAGACGGAGGAAACCUGUUUGUCACUUGCCGCCUGGACACCACAAACAGGUGUGGGAUUUUCUGAUGGGCACCCUGAAGACCUGGGUCUGUGGGCAUGCCCAUUCCCUCAUCCAGAUGCUGGAAGUCAGGUCUUCAAUCACUCCUGUUGCUCUCCAGCUGGUCUACAUCUUUCCUGA
This 718-nucleotide long non-coding RNA is filed under the name Anser cygnoides (Swan goose). RNAcentral's name for it is "lncRNA (ENSACDG00005002787.1)". The record is from RNAcentral. Lineage: Eukaryota; Metazoa; Chordata; Aves; Anseriformes; Anatidae.